Molecule: non-coding RNA, 431 nt
Organism: Pelobates cultripes (western spadefoot toad)
Lineage: Eukaryota; Metazoa; Chordata; Amphibia; Anura; Pelobatidae
Source: the annotation of a GenBank genome assembly
AGGGAAAACAUAGUUUCUAAAAAUGCAGUAAAUUUGUAAAAGAAAACAUAACAAGAAGGAUCUGGUUAAAACCCAAAUUGUACCCUCACAAACCUGUCUAUUGAGACAGACCACCUGGCUCCAAACCACCACCUCCUGCUAAAGAAACUAUGAUCACCGAUUUAUUCACAGUCCAGACCCUGCCUCCCAGAUCAGCACUCUAUCCAGCGAUCCCAGAGACAUCAGAACCUGAGAGGAGACUGGCAGAGACAUGUGAGCCUGACCGGGAGCAACCUACAUAUCAACUGGUAAUCAAAAUCAGAUAACGGAGUUGCUGCAAUCCAGUAAAACUUUUUUGAGGUUGCUCUCGGCCCCAGAAAUACCAAACAGAGUGCUACUUGGAGGAAUGACAGAGGAGGUAGUGAGGCAUUGAAUGGUACCAAAGACUUAAG